GACGAACGCUGGCGGCGUGCUUAACACAUGCAAGUCGUACGGUAAGGCCCUUUCGGGGGUACACGAGUGGCGAACGGGUGAGUAACGCGUGAGUAACCUGCCCACAACUUUGGGAUAACGCUAGGAAACUGGUGCUAAUACUGGAUAUGUGCCCCUGCUGCAUGGUGGGGGUUGGAAAGCUCCGGCGGUUGUGGAUGGACUCGCGGCCUAUCAGCUUGUUGGUGGGGUAGUGGCCUACCAAGGCGGCGACGGGUAGCCGGCCUGAGAGGGUGACCGGCCACAUUGGGACUGAGAUACGGCCCAGACUCCUACGGGGGGCAGGAGUGGGGAAUAUUGCACAAUGGGCGCAAGCCUGAUGCAGCAACGCCGCGGGCAGGAUGACGGCCUUCGGGUUGGAAACCGCUUUCAGCAGGGGCGAAGCUUUUUGUGACGGUACCUGCAGAAGAAGCACCGGCUAACUACGUG
Molecule: ribosomal RNA, 465 nt
Filed under: uncultured bacterium
Lineage: Bacteria
Description: partial 16S ribosomal RNA
Rfam family: Bacterial small subunit ribosomal RNA
Source: RNAcentral